CGUGACAUCAUAUGCAUGACAAAAUUGAUAUUUGUUAUUAUCAAUGCAGUGCAAUUUAGGCCAUUUUCCAAAGAGUGCGGUGUCCUUUUUUUUUUUUUUUUUACCCCAGUUUCAACUCUUGCGCAUUUGGAUGGAGGAAUCCAAACAUGUAGAUGGUGGUACGUUACGGUAGGCCUACUGAGGAGGGAUUGCACCAUGAAGUAUGUGUGCUGUACAUUUACUUAAGAAAACAUGCGAAGUCAAUUGGCACAUCAUGCUGUUGUUAAUCAGACUGAACAGAGAGGGUCCAAGCAGCCACGUUUGGUUUAUGUUCUCCCUUAACCUCCGAAUUCUUUAAAAAUCCACCAGGUUUGGGGAUUCUGCAGGCCUUAGGAAGCUACAGCCUGCUGAACUAUUAGGUUACACACCUAUGUUUCUGACACACCUACAUGUAUGUUCCCACACACCCAUGGAUGUUCUGACACACCUAUGUUCCAACACCCCUAUGUUCCGACUGCUCAUAUUCCUAUCCCUAACCCUAGCAUAGAGCAGUCGCCAACUAUUACACUGAAAUAUACGUGUGGAUUGAUGGCCCAUGUAGUAAAGCAUGUGCCCUUGAUAUGUUACAGUUUUUGGAUUUUCUUCAGGAUUGAAGAAGGUAACUAGCACGAGUUCUUUAUAUUUGAUGUGGUUUUGAGUGUAUGUGGUAACUAUAUGAAGUGUUUCUCUGUAGUUCUCUCACCCAGAAGUUGAUAUCAGAUAUUGGACCAUUCUAACCUAGUCUUUACUGGAUUAGCCAGGAUUUGAACCCAUCAAAAAUAAAACAUUAGGGGCCAUUCAAAAUAGUCAAUGUUAAUUUUUUUAAAGUCUUUUCAGUUUUCAAUUUAAGUAAUAGAAAAAAAUAAUACAAGAAGAAGGGGAACAAGUUAAAAUACCCAGCGGCCUCUUCAAGAUCGUCUGUCAUUGGACACAGUAAAAGCUAAUCCUAACAAAGCCCAAAUGACCCUUUUUAAAUUUUUGUAAUAUAGUGUCUUAGAAAACAUUGUACAAAGUUUUGUGUGCUUGGCAAUUUCCGUCUGUUUCAACUGCAAAGUUGCAUGCUGGAAGCCUGGAAAAGCCAUUGACCUUAAAUAUCUACUUCAAUUUGAAGCAUAAAUUACUUUGUUCUUCAGUGUAUUUAUAUAUUAAAGAGUCAUUCAGCAUUUAAAAAAAAAACAACGAAAUUUGGGGUGGAUGGGUGAGUCAAAACAAUUUGACCCACUAGUAUACCGGUAUUUUACAUCGCUUAAUACAUGCUUUAUUUAGAAUCAUUACCUUGUCAGUACAUUGGACGUGGUAUUUAGGGUCUCAUCCUAAUUUCCGUUUUCGAAGGCCAAUUUUCCUAUAAUUUGACAGGAAUGUUGUUUGGCUGGUAUUCUACAAUAUGACAUCACUGGGUUGAGCUGCAGUGACUACAAUAAGACACUUUACUCUAUAUUGCCCAUUUGCAGUCAAAAACAGGAUUUUGUUUUGGUACCAUAUUUAGUUGGGGAGGAAUAUAGGGUUCCCAUGCACCCCCUGGAUAUAUUUUUUUUAACCUACUUUUUUGUAAUCCUCAAUGUGUCUAGUGAACGAAUUUUGAUGUUCCCAAGAUCAAAUAUUGUCCCAUGGGGUUCAUUUGGCGGCCAUCUUGGCGGCCAUCUUGGAUUUUGACGAAAAUCAGUUAUUUGACAUAACUUUUGAACCAGGCAUCAUAGAAAGACAAAUUAACAUGUUUUACUGGGUAAUUUGGUUGUGAGGAAUCGAUUGGAAGUGUUAUUUUUAUAAUGUGGCGGCCAUCUUGGAGGCCAUCUUGGAUUUCAACGAAAAUCAGUUAAUUGACUUAACUUUUUAACUAGGCAUCAUAAUAAGACAAAUGAACACGUUUUCCCGGGUAAUUUGGGCGAGAGGAAUCGAUUGAAAUCAUUAUUUGCAUGAUUUGGCGGCCAUCUUGGCUGCCAUCUUGGAUUUCGAAGAAAAUUGGUUAUUUGACUUAACUUUUGUACUAGGGAUCAUAGGAAGACAAAUUAAGCUGUAGGCUUAAUCUUGUAAGUUGUAGUAUUAGCAGGAAAUGGUGAUAGUGAACGAACAAUCAUAGCAUAAAUAUAGUGCGGUAUAAUCAUGCCAGUAUGCAUGGUGAUGCGGCCCUAUCCAUCCCCUUCACUCAUUGACUUGCUGCAGAAAACUGUUGAGGAAGCGGAGGAUCAAUAGUGGAAGAGCAUCAAGCUCUUUCUAUAGUGUGACAGUAAAGACCCACUCUUGAGUGGCAGUACCACGGCGAGUUCAGGUCAAGGAUCAGGGUGCCUGAAAUGCACCUGCCCGCUCCUUUCGUCUGGCUCCCUUGUCAGUCAGGAAAUCAUUUUUAGCAUUUUCAGCCCAUCUCACACCUUCCUGCAUUCUCUGUCGUCUGCCGUGCAUUCCCAGCUGUUGGAACCUAUUCCAGAUGACGUCCGGUCUCUCUUGCAGAUUUCCUUAUAGCGGAGAUAGGGUCUCCAUAAAGGAGAUCCUUUAGGAGCAGACCUGAGUCCAUCCUCUUGACAUGGCCGAUGCCAUCUAAGACGUCUAAUGCUGAGGAGAGCAAACGUGCUCGGGAUACCAGCACGCCCUACGACCUCCGUGUUGGUCACUCGAUCCUGCCAGCUUAUACAGAGGGUGCGUCCUAUCGGAGGUGGAAGCUGUUUUAGUGAUCUCUUCUCCUGACCGGCAUAGGUUGUCGAGGCUUCACAACCAUGGAGGAGUGAACUGAGGACACCGGCCCGGUACACUUGAAUCUUGGUGUGCCCAGUCAUCGUGAUGGUUGUUCCAGACUCUCUUGCUCAGUCUAGUUUAAUAUGACAGCUGCGGCCUUGGCUAUUCUGCUGUUAAGCUCUGUGUCAAGAGACAGUGUGCUGGAGAUGGCUGAAGCGAUGUAGGUAUCCACCACCUCAAGAGCAGGUGCGUUGAUGGUGAUGGAAGGAGGGCGGUCUACAGUGUAUAUGUUCUGAGACAUGACAUUGGUCUUUUUCAGGCUGAUGGUCGGCCCAAACUGAUUGCGGGCAUGGGACAGGCAACCGAUGAGCCACUGGAGCUGGGCUUCAUUGUGGGAGCCAACGCUGUGUCAUCAGCAAACAGCAGUUCAUGGAUGAGGACCUCGCGAAUGUUGGAGCGGAGGCAAGAAGUGUUAAAUCAGCUUGUGUAUGCAUAUAUAGACACCCUUGGUGUAGUCUCCAAAAGCGUACUGUAGGAGCAUGGAGUAGAACAUACCGAAGAGAGUGGGAGCCAACAUGCAGCCCUGUUUUACUCCAAUUCUCACUGGGAAGGCAUCUGAUGUUGCACAUUUGAAGUACACUGUGCUGUGCAUGCCCUAGUGGAAGGAUGUUACCAUGCCCAGCAGCCUGGGAGGGGCGGGACAGCUGAUCUUCUGCAGCAGUUUAAAGAGCCUACUUCUGCUGACCAGGUCGAAAAUCUUUGUCAGGUCUAUAUGAAGUCAGUAUAGAGUGGCAUUUUCUGCUCCUGACGCUUUUCCUGCAGCUGGCAAAGUGAGAAGAUCAUAUCCACAGGGGAUCUGCCUUCGCUGAAGCCACACUGUGACUCGGAAUAGACCUUACCGACAAAGCUGAGCAGAGAGAUUCCGCGAUAGGUAUUACAAUCGCACCUGUUGCCCUUGUUUUUCUACAAGGUGACGAUAUUUGCAUCACGUACAUGUAUGUCGGAACGUUACCCAUUUCCCAGCAGGGGCUGAGGAGUUUAUGAAGUCGUCACAGCAACGCUGGUUCCCCGCUCUUUAGGACUUCAGGUGGGAUACCUGAAUAGUGGGAUACCUGGGUUGGCUUCCAGGGCGGCAUCUCUCACCACAUUCUGUGUUGCAUACAGCUCAAGGUAGUGUUCCACCCAUGUUCCAGCUGUUUCCUUUGAUCGGUGAUAACUUCUUCCGUCUUGGACUUCAGCAUUGCCAUUUUUUAGAUAUUCGGUCCUAUUGCCUUCUUGAUGAUGCCUUAAUACAGCCUUCUUGCAUCACUGGUCUCUUGCGGCCCUGAGAGCAUCUUUUGUGCUGGGACUGGGAUCCUUCUUGUGGGCAAGGAAAGCCUUCUGUUGGCAAGGAUUAGGCUCGUAAGCGUUCCUACGUUCUCCUUUCCCGUAGGAAGAAGCGGCGAGGUCGUGAAUCAUCACGCAGGUGGAACCACUUGAAUUCCACAUCACACUGCCACCACCGCCUGUAAGUUCUGCCAGAGCCUCUCCAAGACUGUCAACAAACUGCUUAUUCCUCUCUGGGUUGUUGAUACAGCAGGUGGUGAUUCACAGUGACACUAAUCUUGGUGAGGUGGGGCUUUUUUUGGUACGAGCUUCACUUUACUGGUAACUGGCUACGAGGGAAUGGUUUGUAUUACCAUUAACCACCUUAGGGGUUUACCCCCUUAGCCUUUACCAUUCCCAGGGCUAUCCGCAGGCAGUGGCUGAAAAUUGAGGUAGACUGUCAACCAAGACUUUAACGAGCUCGACCAACCUGGGUUUGUGAUCAGUUUUCCUUGUCCUAGGCAGAAUGCCUACCCUGGCUUAAGAGUUCUACCAGCUAGGGUUUGAUAAAAUCCCUAAAAAGUAAAAGGUAAAGAGGACGAGCCCGUGUUCCAGUGAACACAGGUUCGUUCCUUUUAUAACCUUAACUUUGUAGGGUUUGUGAUCGGAGUUUCCUAGGCAUGCUAGGUGGACUUACAACCAAUUCUAACGAGCUCCACCGACCCGGAGCAACCUUGUUAUAGUCCGAGGGACUCUCCGACACCCUCUGCCAUUCAGCACAAAUGGGGUUGGCACGAGAAGUCAGACAGUAGUAUUUGGUUAAGAGAGGCUAAUGGUGAGACACUGUGCUAAACAAUGGGAUACUUCAAUGGGGAAGGAGCAGCUCAAUCCGCCAUUCCACUCCAGCACAUCCUUACCUUUUUACCCCUGGAAUAUUAGAGUUUGGAAUACAUGUAGUCUAUUGUUUUGCAAGAGUCCGAGUGCAAAUUAUAAGUUUUAAGGUAUUUAACUUGUUUCUAUCAUUAAAUAAUUACGUUAUAUCGAUUCGCCAUGCCCAAAUUACCCCUAAGACGUACGUGCUCACUCAUCUUAACGGUAUAAUGCCUGGUUCAAAAGUUAUGUCAAAUAACCGAUUUUCGUCAAAAUCCAAGAGGGCCGCCAAAUGCCCAUGGGACAAUAUUUGAUCUUGGGAACAUCAAAAUUCGUUCACGAGACACCUUGAGGAUUACAAAAAAGUAGGUUAAAAAAAUAUAUCCAGGGGGUGCAUGGGAACCCUAUCUUCCUAAUAGACUAAUUGAACCCCAAUAAAAGUUAGGAAAAUGCACCUGAUUUCAUGCUGAUCAGCUAAUGUGCACUGGAGCUAUUACAAUAAGUUUCAUGAGGGAACAUUAUGGUCCCCCCCCCCCACUUGAUAGGUUUCAUUUAGUUCAGUGCAAUCACUAAAAGUUCAAACAAGGGAUCACCCUUGCUAAAUUUAUAUCAUGUACAGAAAAACCACUUGAUUUGUGUGGUUGCUUCAGACAGCUUUGUUGGAUGAUCAAACCAAAGACAAAAUGUUUGCUAUGCCAAACACAGUGGGGUCCACAAACAAUUGAUCGGAAUAGCGAUCAUCUGUUAUAGUGAAGCUUGGCCACCAAUGCUUACUAUAUUUAAAUAUGGUAGCCAAAGGGAUGUCUUAAUAGCUAAGAGUUUGAUGUUGCAGUGUUCAGUGCUGUGAAUCUUAUGUACAUGUACAGGAAAAAGCAAUACCAAUGUUACAAGAAAACUCAAGUCCAACAGAAAUUUUACUGAAAUUGAACAACUAUGAAUAAUGUCACACAAACUAAUUGGUAAUUUUAUAAUGCAGAAACAGUACAGGGACACUUAUGGGUAUGUUGAAAGUAGAAUCAUUUUUAAAAUUUUGAUUUAUGACAGUCAUAAAACGAUAUUUCUGUCGCAGUACAUGUAUAUUUAAACUGUUCAUCAAAAUAGGCUUAAAUGCAGACAUGUUACAAAUAGUCCGAUGUUGACACAACUGCCAUAUUAUGUGACAGGAAAUACAUGCACUGCAAUCACACAGGUCUCGCCCCACUACAGCAUGAAGCCUGUUCCAUGGUGUGUUGUAGCAAAAAGGCGCUGUUCCAUUUGGUCAUUAUGACAACAUACAAAGUACAUGUGUACUUACUUCUGUGAUAAAUUACUAUAAUAGUUUUUAAAACAUAUUUUAUUUACUACAAAUUACCUUGGAGAUUACUUGGAGAUCUGUAGUCUAGCCUCUAUUAUUAGAUAAUGUUGAACAAUUGUUGACUGCUGUGAUGUGAGAUAUGGCGGUUUUAAUACCCAAGGGGUGCACAACACACAAAGUGACGCCGAGGAUGCUAUGCGCCCUAAGGGGGUUAAAAACAACAUAUGCCACAUCCAGCAGUCAACAAUUGUUUUGUUAUAUCUUGCCAAUAAGUUACAAAGAUACAGAUUUAAAAUCUCUAAUCAAAAAAUAAAUGAAAUCACUGCAGAGUAAGUAGUUUUGAUUACUGUGAGCUGUCCUGCCAGACAUGAGAUUGGAACGGUGGAGUUCUGAGGUGCGUGGGUCCUACACUAGUCUUGGCCCAAGACGCUAGUGAUCAACACCGGAUCGUGCAUAGUGCGCCCUCUUAAUGACACAAUAAUAAGACCAUCGCGUCAUGUACUAAUAUCUUUGGAAUUUCAUAGUAGCGGUUUAACUUUUCCCUAAGCUUUUCUAGGGAAUCAAUCAGCGAUCGCGUAAUGGUUUAUGUUCAGUCGCGCGGUUGUAAAUAUACGUGCUAUGUGCGGAAAUUCAACUGUGAAGUGUGGUGAUCAAGCUUCGCUAAUGCAACUCGGUGAUACCCACGCGCGACUACCGGUAUAAAUAGGAAGCUGCCAUUUUGUUUGACGAUAUUAAUAUUUACAUCAACAGUCUAAUUUACAUAUAACGGCCACGCCUCCAUUCCUGCAAAAUUCCUGCAAAAUUCCCAAGACGUUAGUGAGAGAAAGUAAAAAACAGUUGUGCGUGAGCAACAUUAACUAAAAUCACUAUCGAUCACUUGGCCCAAGACUAGCCCUACACAUGCACCCUUCAUGUACGCGAAUAUAUGCAACAUGAUUAUAUGCAACUCAGUUCAUAUGAAUAACCAGUCAUUUUAGACUGGACACGUGGCAGUUUUAGACCAAUGAAAUGACAAUAUCCAAAACAAGAUGUAACAAAAAUUAUAGCAGUUUGCAAUUGGCAGAGACCGUGUAAACAUCUGAUAUAAAUGCAAUUUGUCCUGGGCCGAUUUCACAAAACUCAUCUCAGGACUUAAGACGAGUCCCUGCUGAAAGAUCGAUCCUAGCUAAGAUACGUUCUAGGACCGAUUUCACUAAACGCAUCUUGAGCAAGAUGUGACGGAAAUACAGGUUAAGGGAAUUGUGAUUGAACAAAGACCCAAUUGCCAAUUUUACGGCUGUUUCAUGUUUGUUUUUACUGCUCGAGGAAAUGGUUGAUAAGAAAUGCACAAAAUCAAUUUUCCUGCACAUUCAUAGAACAUGAAGUUUCACCUGGAAAAAAAAUUAUUGUGUGCUUAUAUAGCAUUACAUAGUCACAGUUAACCACUGAAUUAAUACCCUUAAUUAUGAUUGCCCAAAUCGCUCCCCGGUUUCAUCCCUCUAUAUCGAGAACCGGUAAUGUUGUUAUUUAGGUCUAGGGUUAUAAUUAAGUUAGAAAUAAAUCAUUAUUAAAACUACCCGCAUGUCAAAACUCCUUUCAUAACUGUUUCUACAGUGGUUUUCCUCCUCUUGUGUUGAAAUUAGCUUUGAAACUGUCGCGAAAAUACAUCCUUAGGCCGAAACUCGC
RNAcentral lists this long non-coding RNA (7819 nucleotides) under Patiria miniata (bat star). Its description in RNAcentral is "uncharacterized LOC119723319". The record is from RNAcentral. Lineage: Eukaryota; Metazoa; Echinodermata; Asteroidea; Valvatida; Asterinidae.